RNAcentral lists this ribosomal RNA (325 nucleotides) under uncultured eukaryote. RNAcentral describes it as "partial 18S ribosomal RNA". It matches the Rfam family "Eukaryotic small subunit ribosomal RNA", at positions 1470 to 1796 of the family's 1831-position model. The record is from RNAcentral.
CCCUUAGAUGUUCUGGGCCGCACACGCGCUACACUGAAGGAGGCAGCGUGUACUCCUGGAUCGAAAGAUUUGGGUAACCCGCGAAUCUCCUUCGUGCUAGGGAUUGAGGUUUGCAAUUAUCCUUCAUGAACGAGGAAUUCCCAGUAAGUGCAAGUCAUAAGCUUGCGCUGACUACGUCCCUGCCCUUUGUACACACCGCCCGUCGCUACUACCGAUUGAAUGAUUUAGUGAGAUCUCGGGACUGGCACAGGGUGGCUGGCAACAGCUGGCCUGAGCCGGGAACUUGCUCAAACUUGAGUCUUUAGAGGAAGUACAAGUCGUAACA